Molecule: long non-coding RNA, 2608 nt
Organism: Megalobrama amblycephala (Wuchang bream)
Lineage: Eukaryota; Metazoa; Chordata; Actinopteri; Cypriniformes; Xenocyprididae
Exons: 2
Source: RefSeq, a predicted model, not a curated record
UUUUGUUGCUGCUUGCUUCACAGAUUUGAGCAACUUUCCAGAAACCUCAACCUCAACCCUCUUACAUGCGCUUCGCACACACGCACACUAGCACACACACGCAAGGUCUCUCGCUCCAUCUCCCUCUUUGCCGUGCGCGCGCUACACCAUUGGCCGGGGGCCGUUGCUGUGAUUGACACCUCAUAGGAGGGCCAUUUUAAUAUUCAAGCACAAGAAAAUGCAAAAUUUCUGAAAAUUUACUUUCCUUUGCAUUAGUUCUCAUUUACUUCAAAUUUCAUUUCUAAAAUAUUUCGUAACAAAAAAAAAUUAAACAGCAGUUUCUCUAUCAUGUUAGUGUAAAUAUUUUCCCUUACUUUAUUUUUGCUUAAAUAACAUCAAAAUCUUGCACUGAACAACACUGUACUGAACAAAUGCAAUCCAUGAAUACAUUUAUUCUUGCCAGACAUCUGACAAACGCUUCUGCUCACAGCGCUGAGCCACAUUUAUCCAAGAUGCCGCUUGACGCGCAUCGGACGCGUUUCGGUGGUUUAAAUCGACGGUCGCGACUUGCGUGAGUGCUUUUACUUUAAUUUAGGCAAGCGCGCUCAUAAUAGAAGCGACGCAGUCAGGACGCCCAUGUGGUGCGGCGCGCUCGUUUUUCCAGGCGCGCUUAUGCCACCGCAAGAUGAAAACAUCUCAACUUUUCAUGUGACAAGGACCAACCGAUGAGCUUCGGCCUUAACAACAUGUCCUUAACAACAUUGAAAGCUCAGCCGAACUGAUCAUAGUUCUAUCUCCAUAAAUAUAGUAGUAGAGCUAUUGCAAGGACUAGAAAUCCAUUUUUCUUUUGCUGAAACCGUGGAGAGCGUAGUUCAUGGUUCCAUAGCAACGACAGACGCCACGGGAGCGCAAGCGCUUUGAAAAGAAGGAGAAAGCGGUGCGGCCGCUCAUGUGACGCGAUAUCUGUGAAUGUCCCCUUAGAACGGCGACUUUUUCUUUGCAUGUGGAAUAUGGUAUGAGACAACAAGAGAAUAAUAAUUUAGCGGGCCAGAUUAUGUUUUAUUUUUGAGAUCAGUUGCGGGCCGGUAGUGUGAGACCACUGCACGGUUUGAAACUGUCUCGCAUGCGCGCUCUUGCUCGCUCGCUCGCUCUAGAUUCCGGGAGAUUUUAACUAAUUUGCGGGCAUCAGGGAGCCGCUAUCAAUAUGCGGGAGACUCCCGGAACUUCCGGGAGACUUGGGAUGUCUGUCUUUGUCAGACCACCGACCAACAAAAAAUUUACGCAAAACUGAGCGAACUCACCAUAUGAAGCUUCCUCAAAGUGCACUGAUCCAUAACAUUCCAAUAAAAACGGUGUAGUUAUUCUGUAAAGGGUCCAGGCUAUCCAAUUCAGUGAAAUAUUUUGUCAAUAAUACGUGUUUAUGUCAAUAAACAUCCAUGGAGCAGAGUGGUAUCAUUUCACGUUAGCCGGCAAUGCUAUUAUAGCUAUUACACUUUCAAGAGUUUAGUUUCAUUUUCAUUUCAAAACAAACCCCGUUUCUCUAUCUUAAAAUGGCCGCUGAACUUUAACCUUUCGAUUGACACCUCUUUUGGACCAAUUGGAGCCUCUGGUCGCUGUUACUAGGCAGAAAUAGCCAAAGACUACCCAGUAAAAUGAAAGGUACCUCCUUCUCUUUGACUGACAGCAGAGCAAACCAGUAAUGUCAGAGCUUGAAAAUGACGGUCUUAUCUGAUAGUCAAUGAAUUUCUGAAAACAAUGAUAUGCGGCUUUAGUGGGAAGACUAUUGCUUGUGGAGAGGAGAGACGAGCGCAAAGCUAGAUAUCCAGGCGUGCGUCAUGCGUAAUAGCGAAGCUGAAGGGGGACUGUUUGCUAAACAAGUUUGUAGAGAGUUUUAGAGGAAAACAAUGUCGAAUUGAACGCGGAAAACACACUUCUCACACUAAGAACGUGUGAAACAAUCCACUCGGUAGCAGCAGUGAUAAGUUCGUAGCAUCUCUGGACAACAGGGUGGUGUUUUAUCCAUUGACUGGACGGAGAUGUUAUGGAUAUGAGCGACCACACUCAAACGAUCAUCUAACGUUGAAUCAGAUGAAGACUGGACAAGAUGACAGCAGGAGAGGAACCCUACCAGCAGAAGAUAAGAUGUUAUAGCUAAAUAGAUAUACUAAAUAGUUUGACAUAUAAUAGUGUGAGAUAUAUAGCCUUUUUGCCAAAUCGCGAUUGUCAUAAUGUGUUGCAUGUUGCCAACAACAUCUAAGAAAUAUAAUUAUAAAAUUUGUAAAUAGUUUGAGAUAUAUAGUGUGAGUUCUAAUAAUAAAUUGUUUUAAUACCAUAGCAUUUUGUAUCUUUAUUUGGACAAAAUUUAGUUUCAAGAAUUGAAGAAACACUAUAAUGUGUUAAUGCUUCAGUUACUAUAUGUCAGCAAUAUUUGACAGUAAAUCUGUAUAAGGGAUAGAAUAGCUCUACGUGUAACCUUUCAUUAGAGCCCAAAAUUAUGACUGUACAUUAAAGCAUUGAAGAAUAACAGCCUUUUAUGUGUUGAUGGUUCCAAAGGGCCAUUUGGAGUCUCCAAGUGGCUUUUUUUGGGGAGCGCCUAGACAUAAACUCAAAUAAACAUGUGUAAAACACU